This is a small nuclear RNA of Suricata suricatta (meerkat), 193 nucleotides long. Its record names the gene U2. It matches the Rfam family "U2 spliceosomal RNA". Rfam says of the family: U2 is a small nuclear RNA (snRNA) component of the spliceosome (involved in pre-mRNA splicing). Lineage: Eukaryota; Metazoa; Chordata; Mammalia; Carnivora; Herpestidae. The record is from Ensembl.
AUCACUUCUUGGCCUUUUGGCUAAGAUCAAGGGUAGUAUCUGUUCUUAUCAGUAUAGUUUCUUCAUCAGCCAAACAACAUAAGGACCUGUUAUAACUGGAGCUAUUCAGCUCUCUGUUGAACCACUCUUUUAAAAACAAGUUACGUUUGGGGUUCCUGGGUGGCUCAGUUGGUUAAGCAUCUGACUUAGGCUC